This 63-nucleotide microRNA precursor is filed under the name Puccinia sorghi. RNAcentral's name for it is "mir-299". The record is from RNAcentral. Lineage: Eukaryota; Fungi; Basidiomycota; Pucciniomycetes; Pucciniales; Pucciniaceae.
AUGGGGAGGAAAUCCUCCCCAUAAAAAUUUCCCCAAGUUUGAUGGGGAGGAAAUCCUCCCCAU